Molecule: ribosomal RNA, 490 nt
Filed under: uncultured bacterium
Lineage: Bacteria
Description: partial 16S ribosomal RNA
Rfam family: Bacterial small subunit ribosomal RNA
Source: RNAcentral
AUUGAACGCUGGCGGCAGGCCUAACACAUGCAAGUCGAACGGUAACAGGAAGCAGCUUGCUGCUUUGCUGACGAGUGGCGGACGGGUGAGUAAUGUCUGGGAAACUGCCCGAUGGAGGGGGAUAACUACUGGAAACGGUAGCUAAUACCGCAUAACGUCGCAAGACCAAAGAGGGGGACCUUAGGGCCUCUUGCCAUCGGAUGUGCCCAGAUGGGAUUAGCUAGUAGGUGGGGUAACGGCUCACCUAGGCGACGAUCCCUAGCUGGUCUGAGAGGAUGACCAGCCACACUAGAACUGAGACACGGUCCAGACUCCUACGGGAGGCAGCAGUGGGGAAUAUUGCACACUGGGCGCAAGCCUGAUGCAGCCAUGCCGCGUGUAUGAAGAAGGCCUUCGGGUUGUAAAGUACUUUCAGCGGGGAGGAAGGGAGUAAAGUUAAUACCUUUGCUCAUUGACGUUACCCGCAGAAGAAGCACCGGCUAACUCCGUG